Molecule: non-coding RNA, 181 nt
Filed under: Anaerotignum neopropionicum
Lineage: Bacteria; Bacillati; Bacillota; Clostridia; Lachnospirales; Anaerotignaceae
Description: Clostridium neopropionicum T-box sequence
Rfam family: T-box leader
About the family: Uncharged tRNA acts as the effector for transcription antitermination of genes in the T-box leader family. T-boxes are found upstream of many aminoacyl-tRNA synthetase genes and some amino acid biosynthetic genes usually in Gram-positive bacteria.
Source: RNAcentral
AUAACUGCGUUGAAAAAGAGGAGUAUCCGUAGUAUGUUUUCAGAGAGUCGUCGGUGGGUGAAAAGACGACAGCAGAGUACGGGGAAGGGCACUUUAGAGCAGGACUUCACAAGAGUGGAUUUAUGCAGCCUGCAUAGAUCAAUAAGGGUGGAACCGCGGAAGACAGACUUUCGUCCCUUGC